ACGGGAGGCAGCAGUGGGGAAUAUUGCACAAUGGGGGAAACCCUGAUGCAGCGACGCCGCGUGAAGGAAGAAGUAUCUCGGUAUGUAAACUUCUAUCAGCAGGGAAGAAAAUGACGGUACCUGACUAAGAAGCCCCGGCUAACUACGUGCCAGCAGCCGCGGUAAUACGUAGGGGGCAAGCGUUAUCCGGAUUUACUGGGUGUAAAGGGAGCGUAGACGGUCUAGCAAGUCUGAUGUGAAAGGCAGGGGCUCAACUCCUGGACUGCAUUGGAAACUGUUAGUCUUGAGUGUCGGAGAGGUAAGCGGAAUUCCUAGUGUAGCGGUGAAAUGCGUAGAUAUUAGGAGGAACACCAGUGGCGAAGGCGGCUUACUGGACGAUAACUGACGUUGAGGCUCGAAAGCGUGGGGAGCAAACAGGAUUAGAUACCCUGGUA
Molecule: ribosomal RNA, 434 nt
Filed under: uncultured Lachnospiraceae bacterium
Lineage: Bacteria; Bacillati; Bacillota; Clostridia; Lachnospirales; Lachnospiraceae
Description: bacterial SSU rRNA
Rfam family: Bacterial small subunit ribosomal RNA
Source: RNAcentral